This 407-nucleotide ribosomal RNA is filed under the name Triticum aestivum (bread wheat). Its description in RNAcentral is "partial small subunit ribosomal RNA". The record is from RNAcentral. Lineage: Eukaryota; Viridiplantae; Streptophyta; Magnoliopsida; Poales; Poaceae.
GUGCAAGUAGUCUACCGUAAACGUUUGGUUUACGUCGACAUCGUAGUUGACGUAGUCAACGAAGAACACCACAUCGUAGAUUAACUCGUGGUAGACCAUCAGGGUAUACUUCAACCACUAGUUCUCGACGUGACAGUAAACGUGGUCUCUACGGUCGCAACACUCGAGGUAGACCAUCAGGGUCUAGUUCUCGACGUCACAGUAAACGUGGUCUCUAUGGUUGCAACACUCGAGGUAGACCAUCAGGGUAUAAAUCAACCACUAGUUCUCGACGUGACAGUAAACGUGGUCUCUACGGUUGCAACACUCGAGGUAGACCAUCAGGGUAUAAAUCAACCACUAGUUCUCGACGUGACAGUAAACGUGGUCUCUACGGUUGCAACACUCGAGGUAGACCAUCAGGGUAU